GCGCAGCAGUCGCGAAAACUCUGCAAUACGCGAAAGCGUGACAGGGCUACCCCGAGUGUCGUCCGCUGAGGACGACUUUUCCACGCUGUAAGGAGGCGUGGGAAUAAGGAGAGGGCAAGUCUGGUGUCAGCCGCCGCGGUACUACCAGCUCUUCGAGUGGUAGGGAUGUUUAUUGGGCCUGAAGCAUCCGUAGCUGGCUGAACAAGUCCUCCGUUAAAUCCAGCGAUUUAAUCGGUGGAUUGCGGGGGAUACUGCUCGGCUAGGUGGUGGGAGAGGCCAACGGUAUUCUCGGGGUAGGGGUGAAAUCCUAUAAUCCCGGGAGGACCACCAGUGGCGAAGGCUGUUGGCUAGAACACGCCCGACAGUGAGGGAUGAAAGCUGGGGGAGCGAACCGGAUUAGAUACCCGCGUAGUCC
This 415-nucleotide ribosomal RNA is filed under the name uncultured crenarchaeote. Its description in RNAcentral is "partial 16S ribosomal RNA". It matches the Rfam family "Archaeal small subunit ribosomal RNA", at positions 330 to 747 of the family's 1478-position model. Lineage: Archaea; Thermoproteati; Thermoproteota. The record is from RNAcentral.